This 718-nucleotide long non-coding RNA is filed under the name Cucumis sativus (cucumber). RNAcentral's name for it is "long non-coding RNA (CSAT_LNC001210)". Lineage: Eukaryota; Viridiplantae; Streptophyta; Magnoliopsida; Cucurbitales; Cucurbitaceae. The record is from RNAcentral.
CUUUUAAUUCUGCAGAGUUGGCAGAGCCUAGCUGAAAAGGGCUAUAUUGUUGUUCGUUUCAGUUUCAAAUUAUUGGGCUUUGGUGGGCCCUUUCUUUCCCUCCCCCAUUAAAGUUGGCGAAAUUAAUGUUUUGGUUUACCUUUAUUGGGCUUUGGUGGGCCCUUUCUUUCCCUCCCCCAUUAAAGUUGGCGAAAUUAAUGUUUUGGUUUACCUUUAGGGGGAGGCCUAUACUAAGGCUUAUAUAUAUAUAGCACUGAUUUUGUUGGUGCUGCUUGCUGCUCUUCAUUUAAAAUGUCGUCCACGUGAAACUAAAGAGGGGGCUUUAGCCAUAAAGCCACAAACUGAAUCAAUGGAUAAUGGUUUGUAAAAUACAGCUGCAUUAAUGAAUAUAUAUUCACUUCCCAUUUAGGGCUGGGCUUUUUGGGCCUUCUUCUUCCUUUUCUUUUUCUUCUCUAGAGAAAGCCUUUCUCGGCCUCACAGUUAUGGUAGAAUUGACUGAGGGAGACUGGAGAGGAACUACGAUGACUGUUGGCUACUACUAAGGGUGAAUACUAUUUUUUUGUUUCUCUAUCGAAUUUUGUUAAAUAAUAAAUAGUUUCAUGUAUUCCCAAAAUUUGUAGUUAACAACCUAAUAGGUAAUUUUUUUAAUCAUUAUUUGUUCGAAAAAGUUGACAUCCCUAGUUCUCGUAGUAGGAAAUUGAAAGUAUAUCGAACAAGG